UAGAAAGCAAUGUAUCCUUAAUGCAAAGCCAUUCACUUGAUCCAUGAUCAAGAUGAAUUAGAUUUGAAUCAAGGAAGAUUAAACCUCCCUAAUCAAUGCUAACCACCAAUCUUUAACUCAUUGAUCGAAAAAAGAAAAAGAAGAAGGAGAAGAAGAAGAAAGAAAUGAAGAAAUAAAGUGCAUUAAAUGAAAUGGUAUGUAUCAAUCAACAAGUGUUGACCAAAGAUAGAGGAGAUCAAGGUUAAACAAUAGAAAACAGAAGCAAAAUGAAUAUUAGAAGUCAAGAAUUAAACAAAAUAUUUUUGGCAUUUUUAAUAUUUAAAAUAAAACUUGAAUUAAAAUAUUAAA
RNAcentral lists this long non-coding RNA (348 nucleotides) under Lathyrus oleraceus (garden pea). RNAcentral describes it as "Pisum sativum (pea) long non-coding RNA (PSAT_LNC011796)". The record is from RNAcentral. Lineage: Eukaryota; Viridiplantae; Streptophyta; Magnoliopsida; Fabales; Fabaceae.